RNAcentral lists this ribosomal RNA (495 nucleotides) under uncultured bacterium. RNAcentral's name for it is "partial 16S ribosomal RNA". It matches the Rfam family "Bacterial small subunit ribosomal RNA", at positions 28 to 507 of the family's 1533-position model. The record is from RNAcentral.
GACGAACGCUGGCGGCGUGCCUAAUACAUGCAAGUAGAACGCUGAAGGAGGAGCUUGCUUCUCUGGAUGAGUUGCGAACGGGUGAGUAACGCGUAGGUAACCUGCCUGGUAGCGGGGGAUAACUAUUGGAAACGAUAGCUAAUACCGCAUAAUAGCAGUUGUUGCAUGACAACUGUUUGAAAGGUGCAAUUGCACCACUACCAGAUGGACCUGCGUUGUAUUAGCUAGUUGGUGGGGUAACGGCUCACCAAGGCGACGAUACAUAGCCGACCUGAGAGGGUGAUCGGCCACACUGGGACUGAGACACGGCCCAGAACCCUACGGGAGGCAGCGGUAGGGAAUCUUCGGCAAUGGACGGAAGUCUGAACGAGCAACGCCGCGUGAGUGAAGAAGGUUUUCGGAUCGUAAAGCUCUGUUGUAAGAGAAGAACGAGUGUGAGAGUGGAAAGUUCACACUGUGACGGUAUCUUACCAGAAAGGGACGGCUAACUACGUG